Molecule: ribosomal RNA, 755 nt
Filed under: uncultured Pandoraea sp.
Lineage: Bacteria; Pseudomonadati; Pseudomonadota; Betaproteobacteria; Burkholderiales; Burkholderiaceae
Description: bacterial SSU rRNA
Rfam family: Bacterial small subunit ribosomal RNA
Source: RNAcentral
AUUGAACGCUGGCGGCAUGCCUUACACAUGCAAGUCGAACGGCAGCACGGGUGCUUGCACCUGGUGGCGAGUGGCGAACGGGUGAGUAAUACAUCGGAAUGUACCUUGUAGUGGGGGAUAGCUCGGCGAAAGCCGGAUUAAUACCGCAUACGCUCUGAGGAGGAAAGCGGGGGACCUUCGGGCCUCGCGCUACAAGAGCAGCCGAUGUCAGAUUAGCUAGUUGGUGGGGUAAAAGCUCACCAAGGCGACGAUCUGUAGCUGGUCUGAGAGGACGACCAGCCACACUGGGACUGAGACACGGCCCAGACUCCUACGGGAGGCAGCAGUGGGGAAUUUUGGACAAUGGGCGAAAGCCUGAUCCAGCAAUGCCGCGUGUGUGAAGAAGGCCUUCGGGUUGUAAAGCACUUUUGUCCGGAAAGAAAUCCUUUGGGUUAAUACCUCGGGGGGAUGACGGUACCGGAAGAAUAAGCACCGGCUAACUACGUGCCAGCAGCCGCGGUAAUACGUAGGGUGCAAGCGUUAAUCGGAAUUACUGGGCGUAAAGCGUGCGCAGGCGGUUUUGUAAGACGGAUGUGAAAUCCCCGGGCUUAACCUGGGAACUGCAUUCGUGACUGCAAGGCUGGAGUAUGGCAGAGGGGGGUAGAAUUCCACGUGUAGCAGUGAAAUGCGUAGAGAUGUGGAGGAAUACCGAUGGCGAAGGCAGCCCCCUGGGCCAAUACUGACGCUCAUGCACGAAAGCGUGGGGAGCAAACAGG